GUGCUAAGGUAGCAUAAUCAUUUGUUUUUUAAUUGAAAACUGGUAUGAACGGUUCUACAAUAUAAAUCUUUUUUUUCUUAAAAUUUUAAUUUAUAGUUUUAGUAAAAAUACUGAAAUGAAUAAAAGGGACGAUAAGACCCUGAAAGCUUAAAGUAGUUGUCAUUGGGAUAUUUAUUUUAGUUUGUGAGGAAUACUAUUAGCUGGGGAAGUUUUUGUAUUAAAACUACAAUUUAUUUAAACUUUGUUUUUAGGGUCCUUUAGAUAAGGAAAAUUAGGAAAAGUUACUUCAGGGAUAACAGCAUAAUAAUUUUGUAGAGUUCUUAUCGAUAAAAUUGACUGUGACCUCGAUGUUGAAUUAAAAUUUCUUGCUAAGGUAAAAUGUAGUUUAGAAGGUUUGUUCAACCUUUAAUUUUUUACAUGAUCUGAGUUCAAACCGG
Molecule: ribosomal RNA, 437 nt
Filed under: Crangonyx sp. Merritts Mill Pond
Lineage: Eukaryota; Metazoa; Arthropoda; Malacostraca; Amphipoda; Crangonyctidae
Description: partial large subunit ribosomal RNA
Rfam family: Bacterial large subunit ribosomal RNA (bases 292-437)
Source: RNAcentral